This 413-nucleotide ribosomal RNA is filed under the name uncultured bacterium. Its description in RNAcentral is "bacterial SSU rRNA". It matches the Rfam family "Bacterial small subunit ribosomal RNA", at positions 505 to 916 of the family's 1533-position model. The record is from RNAcentral.
GUGUCAGCCGCCGCGGUAAUACGUAGGUGGCAAGCGUUGUUCGGAUUUACUGGGCGUAAAGGGUGUGUAGGCGGAUAUUUAAGUCAGAUGUGAAAUCCCCGGGCUUAACUUGGGGACUGCAUUUGAAACUGGAUGUCUAGAGUGCAGGAGAGGAAAGCAGAAUUCCUAGUGUAGCGGUGAAAUGCGUAGAGAUACGGAAGAAUACCAGUGGCGAAGGCGUGUUUCUGGACUGUAACUGACGCUGAGGCGUGAAAGCGUGGGGAGCAAACAGGAUUAGAUACCCUGGUAGUCCUCGCCGUAAACGAUGAAUACUAGGUGUAGGAGGUAUCGACUCCUUCUGUGCCGCAGUUAACACAAUAAGUAUUCCGCCUGGGGAGUACGGUCGCAAGAUUAAAACUUAAAUGAAUUGGCGG